Molecule: non-coding RNA, 186 nt
Organism: Ceratotherium simum simum (southern white rhinoceros)
Lineage: Eukaryota; Metazoa; Chordata; Mammalia; Perissodactyla; Rhinocerotidae
Source: RefSeq, a predicted model, not a curated record
CAAUUUUGUAGACGUCCUGGAGGGGCAGACGCAAGGGCUUGUCAGUUGGACGAGUUGGUGGCAGGAUGCAAUCCAGAGCUUCAAGCAGUGUGGUUCCACUGGCAUUGCCAUCUUUACGGGUGACUUUCCAUCCCUUGAACCAAGGCAUCUGCAACACAACGUCAAUUAGCACUUGGGAAAAUGGAU